CGGCGCGCGCCACCCGGCGAGUGCUGCGGCUCAGCGCUGGUCGUGCUAGCGCGCGCUACUGCCACCGGGGUGGCGGGGCCUAGGAGCGAGGGAGAAAAUGACUCUCUUUUGAAUGGGAGAUGCCUGACCCUGGAAGAUACAACCCCAUCCCCAGCAAGGGGAAGUGGGCAGUCUGAAACCAAUGAGAAAAAGACAAGCUGGUGUUUCUGCAUAAAGACAAAGGUGUAAUAGAUGAUUUAUUGUACCUUACUGUGUAGAGUCUUUGGAGAGCUGGGCAAGGACAAGACUUAUCAUACUGCUGGAGAAGGUCAUCAAAAGAUUGUGACAAAUGGUUGGGCUGCAAGCCAGACCAAGAUAAUCAAAGACUCCUCACUUCUUCUUCCGUUCUUAGAAUGUAUGUUCUGACCAUUGUUCUCACAGAAAGCAAGCCAUUUUCAAGAAUGCAGCUCUGAUAGAGUAAGAUGUUGAGACCACCUAGACUGAAUAUGUGCCUGAACUUCAGGCUGCUAUGUAAACUUUUAAGAAUCUGGUGGUCGGGUGCUUGGAUAUAUUCAUUUUAUGCCCACCAAAAACAAGCCUUGUAAGUUUGUUCCCUUGUUUAUUAAGCCUGCUGUCGACCAAUCUGGAUUGGUCUGCCUCUUUCUUUGGUCUGCCUUACGCUCUUGAGUAUGAAGGCCAGGUUCAGCUUUCACCUGGGGAAUCCCCAAGUUUGCAAACUAAUAUAUAUAUAUAUGGCCCUACUGUCACCCAGAUUCUAUUCUUUUAAGAACUUUGGUAACAAACAGCCAUAAAUUUAUGAAAAUAAUUAUCACCAGGUCACAGAGGAGACUAUAUAGUCAUGGUUUUAGUAAAUUUUAUAAUAAUCCUUAUUGUGCAAGACACUAAAGGGGUAUAAGUUAACCAUGUUACAAACUAUGGACUACUUAUUUCACAAAUGACAGCUGCUCCAGAAUUCAACAAUACAUUUUUAAGCACAGUGUAAUUUGUAAAAAUAUGAUGACCUAGUUAUACAGGCUAUCUUGUGUAACCAAAUCUGUUUGGAAAUAAAUUAGAUUUCUCUGUAAUUAUUUAGUUAGGUCAGACCAAUGAAUUGGAAAUGCAUUAAAAUGAAUGAAAUGCUGGUACAUACAACAUGGAUGAAUCUAAAUGUGCUAAGAAAACUGACACAGGAGUUAUUACUUUUUGGAUUUAUCAAUAUGAAUUUCAAAACUAGAAAAAAUAGUGGUGGAAAAUAUCAUAAUAUUAGCUAAUUUGAUAUGUAGAAAGGAUUAACUGGGAAGGGGAAUGAGGGUAGUUUUGGAGAUGUGAUAAGAAUAUUCUUCACAUUUAAAAAGUUCUCUAUGUAAAUUUAACAUAAAAGACUAUAAAAUAUAUUGAACUAUAGUUUAUUUGCAUGUUGAAUUACUUAGGCAAAAAUGUAUGGGUGUCUACAAUUUACUUUGAAAUGCAUCAAACAGUAAGAUGGAUUGAUGGAUGGACAGAAGAAGCUUGGAUAGGCGGACACAUAAUACAGCAGGUACAGUAAGCUGUUAAUGGUGGCACUAGGUGGUGAAUGCUUGUGAGAACACUGAAUGUUCUUUCAAUUUCUCUUAAGUUUGAAAAAUUUUAUAAUAAACUUAACAGAGUAUUAUCAUUUCCUACUUUCAUACUUCUUCCAGUUCAUAUCAGGAUUACUUUUCUAUCUCCUAACUAGUCUCCUGCUCAUCUACCUGCACUGACUACAGUGUAUUCUCAGCACAGCCAACCAGAGCAAUAAACAAAACUAAUUAUUCCUCGAAACACUGUGAAACCAUUCCCAUUACACUCAGACUGAAAUUCUAGGUCCUCUGAUUUACUAUGCCCCAUAAGAUGUGGCUACCAUGUGGCCCACUCAUUACCACUCUGACUACUCUUUCCACUAAACUUCUCCUUCGGGAAUAUCUCUCUGGUCAUAUUCACCUUCUUGCUU
This is a long non-coding RNA of Phyllostomus discolor (pale spear-nosed bat), 1948 nucleotides long. RefSeq lists it as uncharacterized. The transcript is spliced from 3 exons. NCBI's taxonomy places the organism in Eukaryota, Metazoa, Chordata, Mammalia, Chiroptera, Phyllostomidae. The record is from RefSeq and is a predicted model, not a curated record.